UGAGAAUAAUGCCCGAUAGAACAUUAUACCUGGAAUGGUUUAUGUUCCAAAUGAUUUAUCGCCAUAGGAUGGGAGUGCGGCCUAUCAGUUUGUUGGUGAGGUAAUGGCCCACCAAGACUAUUACAGGUACGGGCUCUGAGAGGAGUAGCCCGGAGAUGGGUACUGAGACACGGACCCAGGCCCUAUGGGGCGCAGCAGGCGAGAAAACUUUGCAAUGUGCGAAAGCACGACAAGGUUAAUCCGAGUGAUUUGUGCUAAACGAAUCUUUUGUUAGUCCUAGAAACACUAACGAAUAAGGGGUGGGCAAGUUCUGGUGUCAGCCGCCGCGGUAAAACCAGCACCUCAAGUGGUCAGGAUGAUUAUUGGGCCUAAAGCAUCCGUAGCCGGCUCUGUAAGUUUUCGGUUAAAUCUGUACGCUCAACGUACAGGCUGCCGGGAAUACUGCAGAACUAGGGAGUGGGAGAGGUAGACGGUACUCGGUAGGAAGUGGUAAAAUGCUUUGAUCUAUCGAUGACCACCUGUGGCGGAGGCGGUCUACCAGAACACGUCCGACGGUGAGGGAUGAAAGCUGGGGGAGCAAACCGGAUUAGAUACCCGGGUAGUCCCAGCUGUAAACUAUGCAAACUCAGUGAUGCAUUGGCUUGCGGCCAAUGCAGUGCUGCAGGGAAGCCGUUAAGUUUGCCGCCUGGGAAGUACGUACGCAAGUAUGAAACUUA
This 716-nucleotide ribosomal RNA is filed under the name uncultured archaeon. RNAcentral describes it as "bacterial SSU rRNA". It matches the Rfam family "Archaeal small subunit ribosomal RNA", at positions 141 to 858 of the family's 1478-position model. The record is from RNAcentral.